RNAcentral lists this ribosomal RNA (255 nucleotides) under uncultured bacterium. RNAcentral's name for it is "partial 16S ribosomal RNA". It matches the Rfam family "Bacterial small subunit ribosomal RNA", at positions 524 to 776 of the family's 1533-position model. The record is from RNAcentral.
UACGUAGGGUGCAAGCGUUGUCCGGAAUUAUUGGGCGUAAAGAGCUCGUAGGCGGCUUGUCACGUCGGGUGUGAAAGCCCCGGGGGCUUAACCCCGGGUCUGCAUUCGAUACGGGCUAGCUAGAGUGUGGUAGGGGAGAUCGGAAUUCCUGGUGUAGCGGUGAAAUGCGCAGAUAUCAGGAGGAACACCGGUGGCGAAGGCGGAUCUCUGGGCCAUUACUGACGCUGAGGAGCGAAAGCGUGGGGAGCGAACAGG